RNAcentral lists this small RNA (38 nucleotides) under Xanthomonas pisi DSM 18956. Its description in RNAcentral is "sX9". The record is from RNAcentral. Lineage: Bacteria; Pseudomonadati; Pseudomonadota; Gammaproteobacteria; Lysobacterales; Lysobacteraceae.
CCACACCCGCCUGACGACUGCUCGCUACGUUUUGUUAG